GACGAACGCUGGCGGCGUGCUUAACACAUGCAAGUCGAACGGAAAGGCCCUGCUUUUGUGGGGUGCUCGUGUGGCGAACGGGUGAGUAACACGUGAGUAACCUGCCCUUGACUUUGGGAUAACUUCAGGAAACUGGGGCUAAUACCGGAUAGGAGCUCCUGCUGCAUGGUGGGGGUUGGAAAGUUUCGGCGGUUGGGGAUGGACUCGCGGCUUAUCAGCUUGUUGGUGGGGUAGUGGCUUACCAAGGCUUUGACGGGUAGCCGGCCUGAGAGGGUGACCGGCCACAUUGGGACUGAGAUACGGCCCAGACUCCUACGGGAGGCAGCAGUGGGGAAUAUUGCACAAUGGGCGGAAGCCUGAUGCAGCAACGCCGCGUGCGGGAUGACGGCCUUCGGGUUGUACACCGCUUUCGCCUGUGACGAAGCGUGAGUGACGGUAAUGGGUAAAGAAGCACCGGCUAACUACGUG
RNAcentral lists this ribosomal RNA (468 nucleotides) under uncultured bacterium. Its description in RNAcentral is "partial 16S ribosomal RNA". It matches the Rfam family "Bacterial small subunit ribosomal RNA", at positions 28 to 507 of the family's 1533-position model. The record is from RNAcentral.